AACAAAAACAUGUCCUUUAGAUUAAUAAUUUAAGGUCUAAUCUGCCCACUGAUUAAUUAAAUGGCCGCAGUAAUUUGACUGUGCAAAGGUAGCAUAAUCAUUAGUUUUUUAAUUAAAAGCUUGUAUGAAUGAUUGGACGAGAUAAAAUCUGUCUCUUAGUUAAAAUUAGAAUUUAAUUUUUAAGUAAAAAAGCUUAAAUUUUUAUAAAAGACGAGAAGACCCUAUAGAUCUUUAUUUAUAAAGUAUAAUUUUUAUAAGGAUUUUUUUAUUUAUUUAUAUUUAAAUAAAUUUUAUUGGGGUAAUAAAAAGAUUAAUAAAAUUCUUUUUUUUUAUUAACAAUUAUAAUUGAUUGUUAGAUCCAUUAUUAGUGAUUAAAAGAUUAAGUUACCUUAGGGAUAACAGCGUAAUUUUUUUAGAGAGUUCAUAUCGAUAAAAAAGAUUGCGACCUCGAUGUUG
RNAcentral lists this ribosomal RNA (456 nucleotides) under Hyphydrus separandus. RNAcentral describes it as "partial 16S ribosomal RNA". It matches the Rfam family "Bacterial large subunit ribosomal RNA", at positions 1806 to 2534 of the family's 2925-position model. The record is from RNAcentral. Lineage: Eukaryota; Metazoa; Arthropoda; Insecta; Coleoptera; Dytiscidae.